RNAcentral lists this ribosomal RNA (484 nucleotides) under uncultured bacterium. Its description in RNAcentral is "partial 16S ribosomal RNA". It matches the Rfam family "Bacterial small subunit ribosomal RNA", at positions 30 to 507 of the family's 1533-position model. The record is from RNAcentral.
AUUGAACGCUGGCGGCAGGCCUAACACAUGCAAGUCGAGCGGAUGAAGGGAGCUUGCUCCUGGAUUCAGCGGCGGACGGGUGAGUAAUGCCUAGGAAUCUGCCUGGUAGUGGGGGAUAACGUCCGGAAACGGGCGCUAAUACCGCAUACGUCCUGAGGGAGAAAGUGGGGGAUCUUCGGACCUCACGCUAUCAGAUGAGCCUAGGUCGGAUUAGCUAGUUGGUGGGGUAGAGGCCUACCAAGGCGACGAUCCGUAACUGGUCUGAGAGGAUGAUCAGUCACACUGGAACUGAGACACGGUCCAGACUCCUACGGGAGGCGGCAGUGGGGAAUAUUGGACAAUGGGCGAAAGCCUGAUCCAGCCAUGCCGCGUGUGUGAAGAAGGUCUUCGGAUUGUAAAGCACUUUAAGUUGGGAGGAAGGGCAGUAAGUUAAUACCUUGCUGUUUUGACGUUACCAACAGAAUAAGCACCGGCUAACUUCGUG